RNAcentral lists this ribosomal RNA (253 nucleotides) under uncultured bacterium. RNAcentral describes it as "partial 16S ribosomal RNA". It matches the Rfam family "Bacterial small subunit ribosomal RNA", at positions 524 to 776 of the family's 1533-position model. The record is from RNAcentral.
UACGGGGGGGGCAAGCGUUGUUCGGAAUUACUGGGGGGAAAGGGCUCGUAGGUGGCCAACUAAGUCGGACGUGAAAUCCCUCAGCUUAACUGGGGAACUGCGUCCGAUACUGGAUGGCUUGAGUUUGGGAGAGGGAUGCGGAAUUCCAGGUGUAGCGGUGAAAUGCGUAGAUAUCUGGAGGAACACCGGUGGCGAAGGCGGCAUCCUGGACCAACACUGACACUGAGGAGCGAAAGCCAGGGGAGCAAACGGG